UUACCUCUUUACUAUUAAAGUGUAUUGCUCUCUGUUUAUGACUGAUAAUAGGACGUAACACAGGGAUGAGGAGAAAACAAUCAUUUGGAUCCUACACAACACGUUGUUGUACCUAAAUAAUUCCACAAGAGGGCGACAUAUAAACAUUUCUUAAAACCAAUUAACCUCUACUGCCUUCAGUCCAUGACGUCCCCGACUUACUAAAAGUCUGCGUCUGCAAAAAUGCUCUUUUAUCAUAACUCGACAUGAAAGUAGCAAAGCCAAAACAGUCAAUGACAUGCUUUUCGGGAUAUACAAUUAGCUAUGGUGUAAGAAAAGGUAAGUGAAAUAUAGGGGAAGGUAGAACAUGUUUUACAGUAAGUUUAAAGUUGUUAUCACCAAUUUAGCUCUGAUAGGCCUUUGGCAAUCCAAGCUUUUGGGAUCGUACUCAAGGCUACUUGGUUUAGGCCUGGCUAUAGCCUAGGGAUACAGUCCAAUAAUAUCUCCUUCUCCUGAAGUGUACACUCUCGUUCGCUUCUUCCUACAAAUCUAAAAUCAUUGGAUUGGUGGAGGCAUGGGCUAGAGAGGAAUAUGCUACCAAAUAGCACCUUAUUCCCUAAUGUAGGCCUACUUUUAAGGAAUGCACUAUAAGGAAUAGAUCAAUCAACUGGCUCACUAAAUGGGGUACCGAAAUACAUCCAAAAGAGGUCGACACGAAAUUAGACUAGGUUUAUUUCUGUUUUGACCUGCUGAGUCGCAGUGCUUAGUGAACAGAUUUCAAUGUGGGCCUAGCUGUAUCGAAAACGGUUGAUGGGGAAAGUGUGUAAUCUGAUCAAUAUAUUUCCCCCCCAAGAUUAAUGAGAGAAUGGGAAUGUGCAUAAAGGUCUAACAUUCCAUGACGUGGUAUGAAGUUCUUAAUUCGUCAGUGGCUGCAAUAUUGUCCUCAGUAAACUCAACAUGAGUGAAAACAACACAGAUAAGGACACGUUUUUCGAGAUAUAAAAAAUACUGUAUGCUAUUAUGGAUGAAGAAAAGGUAGGUUAAAUGACACUAAAUAUUUGGGAAUGUAACUAAGGAAAACGUCAUUUAAGAUAACAUAGUCUAUUGCAAAACAAAUGUCUAGUUCUCUCUAUUAAGUCAAUCACCAGUUUAGCUCUGAUAUGGCUGUAGCUCUAUGAUGUCCUUUGCAAGAAUCUAAUCUGACAUUGACAUGAAAUUCCUAUGUCCUUCAGGUAGUACAGAGAGAUGAUGAAGAUCCCCCGAGGGAGUGGAGGGAGGUUGUUGAGGAAGAACCAGUGGCCCAGCUCAAGAAGGAGCCCAAGAAGACAGGAAAGGCGAAGAGGAAAAGUAGUGCCAAGAAGUCAGGGGAGCAGGGCACUGAUACGGAUCCAGGUCAUAGAUUUUCCCUCUGUAGUAUGUUGGUUCUCUAAACUUGAAUAUCAUAGAUAAAGGUCAUGUUAGAAACUGGAGUCAGUAAGAAAUGUUGCAUGGAUAGUGUUAUUCAAUAGUCCUAUUGUAGCAAUUUUAUCGAAGUAUUGUAUUAAGAGAAAAGCGUCUGACUUAUCCUGAAUUGUCCUAUAUGGUAAUAACAUAUUUAGGAUUGAGGAAUAAACACCCGGACAGAGGAUCUGUUAUUGAGCUCUUGGAGAAGAAUGCUCUUAAGGCUGCACUCGGCCCAGGCAACAAAGAUGAGAUGGAGGACUGCUACCCAAUCCUCAUCUCGUUCAUGCGCAAUCUUACUGAUGAGCAAUGGCAAGUGAUCUAUAAAGGAUUUAAAAAACCUAUGACAAAGGAACAGCUUGCAAAAUUGUGCAAGACCAUUGUCAACUUCAUUGCACAGACCACCCUGCAGAUCCUGCUGCCGGCCCUGGCCCGCAUUCUAGGGGUGACGGGCUUUUAUGACAACGCUGACUCACUCAAGAGGGGUGGCAGUGCAAGAUCCUUCACUGCCUUUGAGUAGAAAAGACUGGAGCUCAUCCAGGAAGUUAAAUAUUUGGCGAAGUAACUGUGGCGGCAGGGAUCUCCGACCAAGGUCUAGCACACCCUCUUCCAAGAGUUCCCAGACCUCACUGAAAGUCCACCUGGGAAUGCCAGAGGACAGUAUCAUCAGCAGUGUCCAGGAGCAACUGUCAAAAUCUGACCAAAUGGUGGCUGCAGGACAGCUUUCACAAAUAGAUAAAGUGGUUGGAACUAUGCUGGAGAACAUUGAGAAGAUAAGCAGCGAAUGUGGCGAGGAAUUGGUCUAUCAAGAGUCACUGCGGUCUUCCUCCUCGUUGUCAUUCUCAACUGCCAAAUCACAGAAGACAGAGUGGGAAUUUGCACUCCCAUUCCUUCUGAGUUACCCGAGAGUACUGCUCAGCCCAUUGUAAGAUGCUCAGUCAUUGACAUGAGCGAAUCUUCUAAGCCAAAAACAAUGGUGUGUGAUGCCAGAACAAGCAUGUUUGCCAUAGCCGAUACCAUCAUGAAGAAGGUAUAUCCAGAGGCAGAAGGGCAGGUUACAUCUCACCCUGAUCUAACAGAUCCAAUAGCUAGACUGGAGGAGCUCAUAUCUCAGGGUAGGAUUGGUGCUCUCUCCCGUGAUCUCAGUCACCAAGUCAACCGCAUAAUUUCCGAUAGCAACUUGACCCCUCUGGGACUGACAGUGGCGGCUGGAAAGAGUGCAUCUGAUACCAUCCUUUCGAAGCUGAAGAGGAAUGACAAGGUGGGGAAGCCCACAACUUACAAGCUGGUUCAGCUGUUUGUAGAGGAGUCUGUUAAGUGCCUCCUGCUUCCUAGUUUUGUGCCCUAUUCAACUUCAAUGAGUUUGGCUCAGGGGGCCAAGGUGUUGGCUAGAGUGUCUGAAGAUAGAAUUUCAUGCUCUUCUUCUUCUUCAUCAGUAUUUAGUGACACAGUCAGUCUCUUUACCAAAGUUAUGGUAAGCCAGGUCAUGUACUCUGUGGAUUCUGAUGCAGAAAGUAGAGGAUCCUCUCCAACUGAAUCUCUCCAAACAUCUGAACCCACUAUAUCUGAUGUAGGCAAUCUAUUGAGUGGCAAGUCCUCCCCUCGGCUGUCUCCUUCUGGCACCAUUAUGGCAACAAGCGAGACCUCCAAUGCAGCACAAAUCUUGAAGGCCAACAUUGAUGGAGAGGAAGUGGAUACCACCAGUCAUUCUGGUGUAGCUCAAAACAUUGUCAGGGACGAUAUGUCAACCAGCCCAGACAUGGUCAAAGAUGUCACACUUCCAACCCCAUCCUCUGCGUGUUAGUAAUGAGAAUUCUAACAGAAAUCCAAACCCCAGCAGAAGAUUACCCAGUUGACGUCACACGCAAGUCACAAGACCUGAUCCCUAAAGUUAUGGAGGUCUUCUGUGCAUGGUCAGGCUGCUCUGAGACACAAGCCUAUCCAGAGAACUUGAGGAUUCAUAAAGUCUACAGAGUCGUCUAUAAAAAUCUGUUGGAGGAGUUUGGCUCGGAGAAAAUCCUCCAACAGGCCGUGUCGACUCAGGACUCUUCAUUUGAUAGGAUUCUUGUCAAGUCUUUGAGUGAAGCGCUUCUCCACAGAUGUAAUGAGGCAUUGAGGGCAGCCUCAAGAACAUCAGUCAAAACCACCGGGCCUAAGGCUCUUCCACUGGCUGAGGAUGUGAGGGCUAGCAGCGGGAAACUAUCUUUUCUACAAAGGCUGGUCAGGCUGACAAGCAACUUAAAGCUAUUCAAGAAGGGGAACAAGAAGGAUUCCCACCGCUCUGAAUCAGAACAAGUACAGACCACUGCUGAAGAUGGCAUGCUGCCCAGCAUAGUGCCACAUGCUGCCAUGUCUGCACUGCCAAAGGAUCUCCCCGCCAGCUCCCAACAGGAGACGCCUCACAAACGUCCACUUCUCGUCAGGAUGUUUUCUGCCAUCUACAAAGGCCUGUUCAAGCCCUUCAAACAGUCCUUAAAGACCAAGUAACUUCAGACAAUUUAUUAAACGUCAUUUAUUGCAAUAAAUUGGCCUUUGUCUUCUUA
This is a non-coding RNA of Oncorhynchus mykiss (rainbow trout), 3962 nucleotides long. The record is from RefSeq and is a predicted model, not a curated record. NCBI's taxonomy places the organism in Eukaryota, Metazoa, Chordata, Actinopteri, Salmoniformes, Salmonidae.